AACAGAUUGAUAAAAUAUAAGCAAAAAUCAAACAAAAAAUAAGCAAAACAUAAGUAAUAUAUUUUUUAAACUCAGAAAGAAUAAAUUUGCGGAUUCAAAGUUGACAUUCUAAACAAAUAGAAACACAAAUAUAUAAGGCCAUAAUUUUGUGUUUGGCAUAAGUUACUACAUUAAGCUAAUAAAUUAAUUUCAUAUCAAAAUAACUUAAUAAUCUACAUUGGUUUCUUAUAGAAUUCUGAAACUGAAGUUGUUGAACAAGCGGAGGUGGCAAAAACUGUGUUCCUUACCUCUAGGAACAGGCCUCGGUAUCCACCAAAGGAGGAAAUCGGAUUUCGAAAGCCGAGAGCCGUGUGGUGGAUUCUUGUGAUCGCUUUGGAAGUGAUCUUCAUUGUUGGCGCCGUUGUAGUGACGGCUUGUGCGGCAAGCAUCUCAAGUUUUCGGCGUAAGACCUUGUGGAGCUUUCCCAUAUGGGAAUUGGCACUGACAUGCGGGAUAACCGUAGCUUCGAGGCUCAUCGCUUGCUACUUGGUGAGGAUCAUCGGAGUGGUGAUAAGGUGGAUCUUCAGAUCCAUGCAGCUGACGGUUUAUGUUCUCCAUGGCCUUCAACACGCGGCAUGGGUGUGGAUGACUAUGGUGUUUAUCAUCACACCUUGGUUUAUUAUCCUCUCGAAUAAGGCGACAAAGGAGCAAAAGGUGGUGCUUCUCGUGUUGCUCCAGGUCAUCACGGCGGUUCUGAUAAUCUCCACCUUGUGGUUCACGAAGGCAAUCAUCACAACGUGUUGUUCAGCGUGGUUCCACUUGACGACCUAUCAAGAGCGGAUCGAGGAGUCUCUUUUCAGUUGGUACGUCAUCGAAGCACUUUCGGGUCAUCCUUGGAGCAAAAUACGUCAUCUGUUUGACCCAAAGAGGACAUCGGCUUGGGACAUGAAGAAGAUUAUCAUGGACCAAAAACACAUUGGCAUAGGCGUAAAGAUCCGGGAUGAAUCCGAGGCGGAGACUGCCGCAAAAACAAUAUUCUGAAAGUAGCCAAGCGAGAAUCCAAGUAAGAUUCUGCUUCAUGUCUUUGAUAUUUUUCCUUUUAGAAUAAAUACUCUCGGACCCAUUAUUAUAUAUGUA
This 1116-nucleotide small RNA is filed under the name Arabidopsis thaliana (thale cress). RNAcentral's name for it is "ATSL049440". Lineage: Eukaryota; Viridiplantae; Streptophyta; Magnoliopsida; Brassicales; Brassicaceae. The record is from RNAcentral.